RNAcentral lists this long non-coding RNA (1102 nucleotides) under Monodelphis domestica (gray short-tailed opossum). RNAcentral's name for it is "lncRNA (ENSMODG00000046570.1)". Lineage: Eukaryota; Metazoa; Chordata; Mammalia; Didelphimorphia; Didelphidae. The record is from RNAcentral.
UUGUGCCGCCAAGUGCCUCCCUGCCCCCCUUCCCUCUGGAAGACAAAGUCUGGGGGCCCGACGGGCUCCGACAAGAACAGGGAAAGGUGGCAUCCUGGCACAGGGGGGUCAUGGAGGGGGGGGAGGUUUCUGGCUGUGUAGCUCUCUCAGAGGUGAGAGAAGCCACAAGGUAGGAAGAUAGAGACAGGAUAGAAGUUUUGGAUCCCACGAGGGGGAUGACGGAGUCAAAUUAGAGAUAUGGUCAGAAUGAGUCUUUAUUAAUUAUCAAUGAGCCACAGCUAAGCUCUGAUCAAAGGACCAAUUCUGUAGGCUUUUCCAGUCCUGAGAUCCAUACCACACAGGUCAGAGAGGUGAAUAGAGAAAGAUUAAAGAUGGAGCUUGGCCUCUGCAAGGACAGCCAUCAGGUAGCCCGAAAGAGAAGGAGGAGCAGAGAGCAGAGGGCAGAGAGAGAGAAGGCGGAGCCUGCUGGGCUAGAUAUAGUUUUUGAUAUGCAAAUAUACACAGUACAUAGGGAUGACCCUCAUUGGUCAAUGACAAGGCAUAGGUGUGGUUUCUCUUAACCAGGGGAGAACAAAGAAACCUGUUUUCCCGCCUAACCUGGGAGAAGCUGGGGUCGAGGGUCAGAGGCUUUCCCAGCCAUGUGCAAGACUGAGCAUGUUCAAGACUGAGCAUCUGCACAUACUGUUUUCCCCUUGCCCAUAGCCAGGAAGCGGUCUGCUACAGGCUGGAGGAGAGUCUUGGCUCCUCCCCACUGAGGCAGUCUCAGGGCAUGCUGGGAACCUCCUGUGGGCAGUCUCGGCUCCUGGAACUGAGUAGAGUUUCUGCUUCUUGGAUCUUUGUUGGGACAGAGAAGGGGCCACCAGCCCCGGAGCCUGGAGGCAGCUGGGGGAGGGGUGCAGUCACAGGAUGGGGGACGUCCAAGUCCGAACAGACCCAGGGGAGAAGCAGCCCACGCGCCCCCAGAGGAAGUCUCCCCCCCUCGGGGCUGCCACCCCCUGAAGGACCCCAGGGUGGUCCCACAGAGAGCCCGCAGCCAGAGGAAUGGCCCCCGGGACCCCGAGGCCCCCCUCCCAGGCCCGUCAGCGCCAGGGCGGCCAUCUGA